This 584-nucleotide long non-coding RNA is filed under the name Phoenix dactylifera (date palm). Its description in RNAcentral is "long non-coding RNA (PDAC_LNC014541)". The record is from RNAcentral. Lineage: Eukaryota; Viridiplantae; Streptophyta; Magnoliopsida; Arecales; Arecaceae.
UGUUUAAUUAACAGGUAACCUGUUUGCCAACCCGAAGGCAAAAAAUGAAGCGAAAGCGAGGAUGGAGCCAUGAAGGCCUCAAAUAGAACAAUGAUAUAUAUAAGCACUUAAAUGUUAAUGAAUUCUGGCUCUGAGAAAGGUUAAUGAUUGGUAGAAAAAAGGUCGGUAUUUUAGAUCAUGAGAAAUAAGGGAAAAAUUAUUUUGGGAUUUUGUAUAGCUUGGCAGGCUCGACAACUCUAAUAGGCUCCUGGUGGUACUAACCUGAGAUGAUGUGAGAUAAAGCUGCCAUAGGCUUACAGGUCACUGUUCUAGAUUUGCCGAACACACAAUCAAUUUGCAUGAAGAUAUGAUGGUUCUUGUAAUUGAAUCAAGAUAAUUUCAAAUCUAUCAAACAUCUAUGGUAAUGGAUUAUAGAUUUCAUAUUCUGAAAACAUGUUGAGCAACAAUAUCUUACAUCACAAAAGCAUCUUUUUUUCUCUCCAUGUACCAACAGAAGAUUACCUAAAAGAUAAAUUUUAGGAUUCAUAACAUUUUUAAAAAACCAUGAAUCUUUUUAGGCAUAUGAAAUACAGAUAGCUCGAGAG